This 394-nucleotide ribosomal RNA is filed under the name uncultured bacterium. RNAcentral describes it as "bacterial SSU rRNA". It matches the Rfam family "Bacterial small subunit ribosomal RNA", at positions 41 to 442 of the family's 1533-position model. The record is from RNAcentral.
GGCGUGGUUAAGACAUGCAAGUCGAACGGAUGUAGCAAUACAUCAGUGGCGGACGGGUGAGUAAUAUAUCGCUAAUGUGCCGCGGAGCCUGGGAUAGCUAUUCGAAAGGAUAGGUAAUACCAGAUGAUAUAACGAAAAGGCAUCUUUUUGCUCUCAAAGCAGCAAUGCACUCUGUGAGCAGGCGAUAACGUAUCAGCUUGUUGGUGAGGUAACGGCUCACCAAGGCGACGACGCGUAGCUGGUCUGAGAGGACGGCCAGCCACAUUGGGACUGAGACACUGCCCAGACUCCUACGGGGGGCUGCAGUAACGAAUCUUCCGCAAUGCACGAAAGUGUGACGGAGCGACGCCGCGUAGAGGACGAAGUUCUUCGGAAUGUAAACUUCUGUCAGGGA